GCGCGCUUAGCUCAGCGGUAGAGCGUCUCCUUUACACGGAGAGGGUCGGGAGUUCAAGUCUCUCAGCGCGUACCA
This 75-nucleotide transfer RNA is filed under the name Nitrosomonadaceae bacterium. RNAcentral describes it as "tRNA-Val". It matches the Rfam family "tRNA". From Rfam's summary of the family: Transfer RNA (tRNA) molecules are approximately 80 nucleotides in length. Their secondary structure includes four short double-helical elements and three loops (D, anti-codon, and T loops). Lineage: Bacteria; Pseudomonadati; Pseudomonadota; Betaproteobacteria; Nitrosomonadales; Nitrosomonadaceae. The record is from RNAcentral.